GACGAACGCUGGCGGCGUGCUUAACACAUGCAAGUCGAGCGGUAAGGCCUCUUCGGGGGUACACGAGCGGCGAACGGGUGAGUAACACGUGGGUGACCUGCCCUCCAGCUCUGGGAGUAAGCCUGGGAAACGUAGGGUCGUAAUACCGGAUAUGACCUUGCCUCGCAUGGGGUGGGGUGGAAAGCCUGGUCUUAAUUGAUUCGGCGGCUGGGGAUGGGGCCCGCGGCCUAUCAGCUUGNGGUGGGGUGAUGGCCUACCAAGGCGACGACGGGUAGCCGGCCUGAGAGGGCGACCGGCCACACUGGGACUGAGACACGGCCCAGACUCCUACGGGAGGCAGCAGUGGGGAAUAGUUG
This 356-nucleotide ribosomal RNA is filed under the name uncultured bacterium. RNAcentral describes it as "bacterial SSU rRNA". It matches the Rfam family "Bacterial small subunit ribosomal RNA", at positions 28 to 367 of the family's 1533-position model. The record is from RNAcentral.